RNAcentral lists this ribosomal RNA (255 nucleotides) under uncultured bacterium. Its description in RNAcentral is "partial 16S ribosomal RNA". It matches the Rfam family "Bacterial small subunit ribosomal RNA", at positions 793 to 1055 of the family's 1533-position model. The record is from RNAcentral.
GUCCACGCCUAACGAUGUCGACUGGUUGUUGGGUUGACACUCUCAGUAACGAAGCUAACGCGUGAAGUCGACCGCCUGGGAGUACGGCCGCAAGGUUAACUACAAGGAAUUGACGGGACCCGCACAAGCGGUGGAUUAUGUGGAUUAAUUCGAUGCAACGCGAAACCUUAACCUACCCUUGACAUGUCCGAGAGCCCGCAGAGAUGUGGGUGUGCCCGAAAGGGAAUCGGAACACAGGUGCUGCAUGGCUGUCGU